This 467-nucleotide ribosomal RNA is filed under the name uncultured Pelagibacterales bacterium. Its description in RNAcentral is "bacterial SSU rRNA". It matches the Rfam family "Bacterial small subunit ribosomal RNA", at positions 89 to 590 of the family's 1533-position model. The record is from RNAcentral. Lineage: Bacteria; Pseudomonadati; Pseudomonadota; Alphaproteobacteria; Candidatus Pelagibacterales.
UACUUAGUGGCAGACGGGUGAGUAACAUGUGGGUAUCUACCCUUUGGCCUGGAAUAACACGAGGAAACUUGUGCUAAUACCGGAUAAGUCUUUACGGAGAAAGCUUUAUGCACCAUUGGAUGAGCCCGCACUUGAUUAGUUUGUUGGUAGGGUAAUGGCCUACCAAGACUAUGAUCAAUAGCUGAUUUGAGAGGAUGAUCAGCCACAUUGGGACUGAGACACGGCCCAAACUCCUACGGGAGGCAGCAGUGGGGAAUCUUGCACAAUGGAGGAAACUCUGAUGCAGCGAUGCCGCGUGAGUGAAGAAGGCCUUUGGGUUGUAAAGCUCUUUCGUCGGGGAAGAAAAUGACUGUACCCGAAUAAGAAGGUCCGGCUAACUUCGUGCCAGCAGCCGCGGUAAUACGAAGGGACCUAGCGUAGUUCGGAAUUACUGGGCUUAAAGAGUUCGUAGGUGGUUGAAAAAGUCC